AUGAAGGUGAGUGGAUCGAAGGUGGAGCAAUACUUGCAAUCCGCGGUGAUGGACAUCUAUGCAAAUAAUCGGACUAGGAUUAGAUGUCCGUGUACAAGAUGCAAAGAAGGAGUCCUUUUGGACCCUUUUGUUCGUGGUAGUUUGAAGGCGCACCUCCUGAUGAAUGGUUUCAUGGAUGGCUAUACUCGGUGGAUAAGUGAAGAUGAUGAUGAGGACGUCCACAUGGCAGGGAAUAACGACAUGGGCUUAGACGAAGAGAUGGCCGAUCGACACGAAGAUGAUGGCGCCAGACAUGGCGGCGGAGAAGAGUCCGGACAUGGCGGUGGCGAAGAAGAUUCCGGACACGGCGAAGAAGAGUUCGGACAUUGCAUAGAAGAGGCAGCAGUCACGCCGCAGUCUUCGAUGCUACUAAGUGCAGUCAUGCAGGACACUCAUGUUCGAGACCUCCUUCUCAAGAGUACGACUAGAGAGAGAGCUACUUCUGGAGAAGAGGCCAAGCUGGCGCAACUUGAAGUAGACUCGAAGACUCCAUUGUAUGACGGUUGUGAUCCCGAAGUGACCCACUUGAGUUUCACACUCGAACUUCUAAAGACGAAGGCCAAAAACAAAUGGACAGACAAAAGCCUCGAUGAGCAUUUGAAGUAUCUACAUAAUGAAGGAAAUAUGCCCUAG
Molecule: ribosomal RNA, 672 nt
Filed under: Triticum aestivum (bread wheat)
Lineage: Eukaryota; Viridiplantae; Streptophyta; Magnoliopsida; Poales; Poaceae
Description: partial small subunit ribosomal RNA
Source: RNAcentral